Molecule: ribosomal RNA, 253 nt
Filed under: uncultured bacterium
Lineage: Bacteria
Description: partial 16S ribosomal RNA
Rfam family: Bacterial small subunit ribosomal RNA
Source: RNAcentral
UACGGAGGGUGCAAGCGUUAUCCGGAUUCACUGGGUUUAAAGGGUGCGUAGGCGGACAGGUAAGUCAGUGGUGAAAUCUCCGAGCUUAACUCGGAAACUGCCUUUGAUACUCUCUGUCUUGAAUAUGGUGGAGGUAAGCGGAACAUGUCAUGUAGCGGUGAAAUGCUUAGAGAUGACAUAGAACACCUAUUGCGAAGGCAGCUUACUACGCCUAUAUUGACGCUGAGGCACGAAAGCGUGGGGAUCAAACAGG